Molecule: ribosomal RNA, 420 nt
Filed under: Bradyrhizobium sp. S-4-55-2
Lineage: Bacteria; Pseudomonadati; Pseudomonadota; Alphaproteobacteria; Hyphomicrobiales; Nitrobacteraceae
Description: bacterial SSU rRNA
Rfam family: Bacterial small subunit ribosomal RNA
Source: RNAcentral
AGAGUUUGAUCCUGGCUCAGAGCGAACGCUGGCGGCAGGCUUAACACAUGCAAGUCGAGCGGGCGUAGCAAUACGUCAGCGGCAGACGGGUGAGUAACGCGUGGGAACAUACCUUUUGGUUCGGAACAACACAGGGAAACUUGUGCUAAUACCGGAUAAGCCCUUACGGGGAAAGAUUUAUCGCCGAAAGAUUGGCCCGCGUCUGAUUAGCUAGUUGGUGAGGUAACGGCUCACCAAGGCGACGAUCAGUAGCUGGUCUGAGAGGAUGAUCAGCCACAUUGGGACUGAGACACGGCCCAAACUCCUACGGGAGGCAGCAGUGGGGAAUAUUGGACAAUGGGCGCAAGCCUGAUCCAGCCAUGCCGCGUGAGUGAUGAAGGCCCUAGGGUUGUAAAGCUCUUUUGUGCGGGAAGAUAAUGA